Molecule: ribosomal RNA, 2865 nt
Filed under: Escherichia coli
Lineage: Bacteria; Pseudomonadati; Pseudomonadota; Gammaproteobacteria; Enterobacterales; Enterobacteriaceae
Description: 23S ribosomal RNA
Rfam family: Bacterial large subunit ribosomal RNA
Source: RNAcentral
GGGUUGUGAGGUUAAGCGACUAAGCGUACACGGUGGAUGCCCUGGCAGUCAGAGGCGAUGAAGGACGUGCUAAUCUGCGAUAAGCGUCGGUAAGGUGAUAUGAACCGUUAUAACCGGCGAUUUCCGAAUGGGGAAACCAAACAUCUAAGUACCCCGAGGAAAAGAAAUCAACCGAGAUUCCCCCAGUAGCGGCGAGCGAACGGGGAGCAGCCCAGAGCCUGAAUCAGUGUGUGUGUUAGUGGAAGCGUCUGGAAAGGCGCGCGAUACAGGGUGACAGCCCCGUACACAAAAAUGCACAUGCUGUGAGCUCGAUGAGUAGGGCGGGACACGUGGUAUCCUGUCUGAAUAUGGGGGGACCAUCCUCCAAGGCUAAAUACUCCUGACUGACCGAUAGUGAACCAGUACCGUGAGGGAAAGGCGAAAAGAACCCCGGCGAGGGGAGUGAAAAAGAACCUGAAACCGUGUACGUACAAGCAGUGGGAGCACGCUUAGGCGUGUGACUGCGUACCUUUUGUAUAAUGGGUCAGCGACUUAUAUUCUGUAGCAAGGUUAACCGAAUAGGGGAGCCGAAGGGAAACCGAGUCUUAACUGGGCGUUAAGUUGCAGGGUAUAGACCCGAAACCCGGUGAUCUAGCCAUGGGCAGGUUGAAGGUUGGGUAACACUAACUGGAGGACCGAACCGACUAAUGUUGAAAAAUUAGCGGAUGACUUGUGGCUGGGGGUGAAAGGCCAAUCAAACCGGGAGAUAGCUGGUUCUCCCCGAAAGCUAUUUAGGUAGCGCCUCGUGAAUUCAUCUCCGGGGGUAGAGCACUGUUUCGGCAAGGGGGUCAUCCCGACUUACCAACCCGAUGCAAACUGCGAAUACCGGAGAAUGUUAUCACGGGAGACACACGGCGGGUGCUAACGUCCGUCGUGAAGAGGGAAACAACCCAGACCGCCAGCUAAGGUCCCAAAGUCAUGGUUAAGUGGGAAACGAUGUGGGAAGGCCCAGACAGCCAGGAUGUUGGCUUAGAAGCAGCCAUCAUUUAAAGAAAGCGUAAUAGCUCACUGGUCGAGUCGGCCUGCGCGGAAGAUGUAACGGGGCUAAACCAUGCACCGAAGCUGCGGCAGCGACGCUKAUGCGUUGUUGGGUAGGGGAGCGUUCUGUAAGCCUGYGAAGGUGUGCUGUGAGGCAYGCUGGAGGUAUCAGAAGUGCGAAUGCUGACAUAAGUAACGAUAAAGCGGGUGAAAAGCCCGCUCGCCGGAAGACCAAGGGUUCCUGUCCAACGUUAAUCGGGGCAGGGUGAGUCGACCCCUAAGGCGAGGCCGAAAGGCGUAGUCGAUGGGAAACAGGUUAAUAUUCCUGUACUUGGUGUUACUGCGAAGGGGGGACGGAGAAGGCUAUGUUGGCCGGGCGACGGUUGUCCCGGUUUAAGCGUGUAGGCUGGUUUUCCAGGCAAAUCCGGAAAAUCAAGGCUGAGGCGUGAUGACGAGGCACUACGGUGCUGAAGCAACAAAUGCCCUGCUUCCAGGAAAAGCCUCUAAGCAUCAGGUAACAUCAAAUCGUACCCCAAACCGACACAGGUGGUCAGGUAGAGAAUACCAAGGCGCUUGAGAGAACUCGGGUGAAGGAACUAGGCAAAAUGGUGCCGUAACUUCGGGAGAAGGCACGCUGAUAUGUAGGUGAAGUCCCUCGCGGAUGGAGCUGAAAUCAGUCGAAGAUACCAGCUGGCUGCAACUGUUUAUUAAAAACACAGCACUGUGCAAACACGAAAGUGGACGUAUACGGUGUGACGCCUGCCCGGUGCCGGAAGGUUAAUUGAUGGGGUUAGCGCAAGCGAAGCUCUUGAUCGAAGCCCCGGUAAACGGCGGCCGUAACUAUAACGGUCCUAAGGUAGCGAAAUUCCUUGUCGGGUAAGUUCCGACCUGCACGAAUGGCGUAAUGAUGGCCAGGCUGUCUCCACCCGAGACUCAGUGAAAUUGAACUCGCUGUGAAGAUGCAGUGUACCCGCGGCAAGACGGAAAGACCCCGUGAACCUUUACUAUAGCUUGACACUGAACAUUGAGCCUUGAUGUGUAGGAUAGGUGGGAGGCUUUGAAGUGUGGACGCCAGUCUGCAUGGAGCCGACCUUGAAAUACCACCCUUUAAUGUUUGAUGUUCUAACGUKGACCCGURAUCCGGGUUGCGGACAGUGUCUGGUGGGUAGUUUGACUGGGGCGGUCUCCUCCUAAAGAGUAACGGAGGAGCACGAAGGUUGGCUAAUCCUGGUCGGACAUCAGGAGGUUAGUGCAAUGGCAUAAGCCAGCUUGACUGCGAGCGUGACGGCGCGAGCAGGUGCGAAAGCAGGUCAUAGUGAUCCGGUGGUUCUGAAUGGAAGGGCCAUCGCUCAACGGAUAAAAGGUACUCCGGGGAUAACAGGCUGAUACCGCCCAAGAGUUCAUAUCGACGGCGGUGUUUGGCACCUCGAUGUCGGCUCAUCACAUCCUGGGGCUGAAGUAGGUCCCAAGGGUAUGGCUGUUCGCCAUUUAAAGUGGUACGCGAGCUGGGUUUAGAACGUCGUGAGACAGUUCGGUCCCUAUCUGCCGUGGGCGCUGGAGAACUGAGGGGGGCUGCUCCUAGUACGAGAGGACCGGAGUGGACGCAUCACUGGUGUUCGGGUUGUCAUGCCAAUGGCACUGCCCGGUAGCUAAAUGCGGAAGAGAUAAGUGCUGAAAGCAUCUAAGCACGAAACUUGCCCCGAGAUGAGUUCUCCCUGACYCYUURAGRGUCCUGAAGGAACGUUGAAGACGACGACGUUGAUAGGCCGGGUGUGUAAGCGCAGCGAUGCGUUGAGCUAACCGGUACUAAUGAACCGUGAGGCUUAACCUUACAACGCCGAAGRUGUU